RNAcentral lists this ribosomal RNA (495 nucleotides) under uncultured bacterium. RNAcentral's name for it is "partial 16S ribosomal RNA". It matches the Rfam family "Bacterial small subunit ribosomal RNA", at positions 28 to 505 of the family's 1533-position model. The record is from RNAcentral.
GAUGAACGCUGGCGGCGUGCCUAAUACAUGCAAGUCGAGCGAACAGACGAGGAGCUUGCUCCUCUGACGUUAGCGGCGGACGGGUGAGUAACACGUGGAUAACCUACCUAUAAGACUGGGAUAACUUCGGGAAACCGGAGCUAAUACCGGAUAAUAUAUUGAACCGCAUGGUUCAAUAGUGAAAGACGGUUUUGCUGUCACUUAUAGAUGGAUCCGCGCCGCAUUAGCUAGUUGGUAAGGUAACGGCUUACCAAGGCAACGAUGCGUAGCCGACCUGAGAGGGUGAUCGGCCACACUGGAACUGAGACACGGUCCAGACUCCUACGGGAGGCAGAAGUAGGGAAUCUUCCGCAAUGGGCGAAAGCCUGACGGAGCAACGCCGCGUGAGUGAUGAAGGUCUUCGGAUCGUAAAACUCUGUUAUUAGGGAAGAACAAAUGUGUAAGUAACUAUGCACGUCUUGACGGUACCUAAUCAGAAAGCCACGGCUAACUACG